CCAAUAGCGUAUAUUAAAGUUGUUGCAGUUAAAAAGCUCGUAGUUGAAUUUCGGGAUCAGUAGGUUGGUCGUGCCACUGGUACGUACUGGUCUCACUGAUUCUUCCUUUCUGAGGAGCUGUAAUGCCAUUCAUUUGGUGUUGCGGGGAAUCAGGACUGUUACUUUGAAAAAAUUAGAGUGUUUAAAGCAGGCUAACGCUUGAAUACAUUAGCAUGGAAUAAUGAAAUAGGACGUUCCAUUCUAUUUUGUUGGUUUCUAGGAUUGACGUAAUGAUUAAUAGGGAUAGUUGGGGGCAUUAGUAUUCAAUUGUCAGAGGUGAAAUUCUUGGAUUUAUUGAAGACUAACUACUGCGAAAGCAUUUGCCAAGGAUGUUUUCAUUAAUCAAGAACGAAAGUUAGGGGAUCGAAGACGAUCAGAUACCGUCGUAGUCUUAACCAUAAACUAUGCCGACUAGGGAUCGGAUGAUGUUGAUUUUUUAAUGACUCAUUCGGCACCUUACG
RNAcentral lists this ribosomal RNA (500 nucleotides) under uncultured Glomeromycotina. RNAcentral describes it as "partial small subunit ribosomal RNA". It matches the Rfam family "Eukaryotic small subunit ribosomal RNA", at positions 591 to 1092 of the family's 1831-position model. The record is from RNAcentral. Lineage: Eukaryota; Fungi; Glomeromycota.